CCUGAGAAACCCAAAAGAUUGAAUGGGGAGAUUCAUCGUCAGCUACUAUUGUAUAUGUAUGAAUUACGAUGUAGGUUACUUUUAUAGUAUUGCUUGCACGUAUUUAUACAUUUAUAUGCAAUAUGUUGUCGGCGUGCACUUCUCCCCUAGUAAAACAUUGCGACCCGUUGGAUGCUGGUUUACGACCCAAGUUGGGAGCCUUUAAUGUUUAAUAGCAUUAGAGACCCUUGGUGUUUUCUGACCGGCUGUUCGGCGGUACUCGUACGGUAUUUAGCCGCAUAUUUAUAUGCGUUUAUGUCCGUCGCAAGCGCGGCUAGUUUGUGGUAAUACGGACCUGGCGCCGUCGCUGCAACUGGCCAGCUGUUGGCUGUUACGGUAUUCUAGAACUGGCUAAAAUUAUUACCGGUCGGCAAUGCUACUGCUUUGGGUACUUUCAGGACCCGUCUUGAAACACGGACCAAGGAGUCUAACAUGUGCGCGAGUCAUUGGGAUUUUUAAAAAAUUAAACCUAAAGGCGUAAUGAAAGUAAAAGUCGUCCUUGCGUCGACUGAGGGAGGAUAAGUUGUGUUAAGAUACAAUUUGGCACUCCCGGGGCGUCUCAUUCUCAUUGCGAGAAGAGGCGCACCUAG
This 629-nucleotide ribosomal RNA is filed under the name Polystenus rugosus. Its description in RNAcentral is "eukaryotic LSU rRNA". It matches the Rfam family "Eukaryotic large subunit ribosomal RNA", at positions 386 to 798 of the family's 3401-position model. The record is from RNAcentral. Lineage: Eukaryota; Metazoa; Arthropoda; Insecta; Hymenoptera; Braconidae.